CCUUUCUGUAAAUGCUGGACAGGACAAAAGAUUCACCAAGGACUCCAGAAGGAAAGCUCCGUAAGGCUGACCGGGAAAGAAGCGAGGAGCUCUGGGGGCUGGGUGGAAAGUCCCGUACUCAUCAGGGCCAGGGAGGCCACAGAAACUACCUCACGCCAGCUUCCCAGGGGUACAGCGGCUAGAAUGGACCUCGAGGAGGCCCCUCCCAAGACUCCCGUCUCCCGGGUUCCACCGCAGUGGGGGCAGCCACAGCUGCCUCUGCAAUGCUUGUAGGACCCACACACAGUGGGGCACGGAGGGGCAGAGGCCGCAGCCCCUUUGCCAUGAAUCCAAAGAACCUGGAGUGAUUCUGCAGAGACGUUCGAACCAGAGCGACUCCAUCUUGAACAGGGGCUGGGUAAAAUGAGGCCGAGACCGGCUGGGCCGCAUUCCCUGGAGGUCAGGCAUUCUUAGUCACAGGAUGAGAUCAGCACAAGAUACAGAUCACAAAGACCCCGCUGAUAAAACAGGAUGCCGUGAAGAAGCCGGCCCCAAACCACCAAAACCAAGACAGCCAGUCCUCACUGCUCAUUAUGUGCUGAUUAUAAUACAUUAGCAUGAGACACGCCCACCAGCACCAGGACCAUUUACAGUUGCCAUGGCAAUGCCGGGAAGUUACCCUAGAUGGUCUAAAAGGGGGAAGAACCCUCACUUCCGGGAAUUGCCUGCCCCUUUCCCGGAAAAGUCCGGAAUAAUCCACACCAUGUUUAGUACAUAUCAAGAAACAACAAUAAGUGUUCUCGUCGGAGUAGCCCAGGCCGCUGCUCAGCCUAUGGGGCAGCCCUUCUCUUAUUCCUUUACUUUCCUAUUAAACUUGCUUUC
This 861-nucleotide long non-coding RNA is filed under the name Homo sapiens (human). RNAcentral describes it as "non-protein coding lnc-TMEM88B-2:2". Lineage: Eukaryota; Metazoa; Chordata; Mammalia; Primates; Hominidae. The record is from RNAcentral.